AUUGAACGCUGGCGGCAGGCCUAACACAUGCAAGUCGAACGGUAACAGGAAACAGCUUGCUGUUUCGCUGACGAGUGGCGGACGGGUGAGUAAUGUCUGGGAAACUGCCUGAUGGAAGGGGGAUAACUACUGGAAACGGUAGCUAAUACCGCAUAACGUCGCAAGACCAAAGAGGGGGACCCUCGGGCCUCUUGCCAUCGGAUGUGCCCAGAUGGGAUUAGCUUGUUGGUGGGGUAACGGCUCACCAAGGCGACGAUCCCUAGCUGGUCUGAGAGGAUGACCAGCCACACUGGAACUGAGACACGGUCCAGACUCCUACGGGAGGCAGCAGUGGGGAAUAUUGCACAAUGGGCGCAAGCCUGAUGCAGCCAUGCCGCGUGUAUGAAGAAGGCCUUCGGGUUGUAAAGUACUUUCAGCGGGGAGGAAGGGAGUAAAGUUAAUACCUUUGCUCAUUGACGUUACCCGCAGAAGAAGCACCGGCUAACUCCGUGCCAGCAGCCGCGGUAAUACGGAGGGUGCAAGCGUUAAUCGGAAUUACUGGGCGUAAAGCGCACGCAGGCGGUUUGUUAAGUCAGAUGUGAAAUCCCCGGGCUCAACCUGGGAACUGCAUCUGAUACUGGCAAGCUUGAGUCUCGUAGAGGGGGGUAGAAUUCCAGGUGUAGCGGUGAAAUGCGUAGAGAUCUGGAGGAAUACCGGUGGCGAAGGCGGCCCCCUGGACGAAGACUGACGCUCAGGUGCGAAAG
RNAcentral lists this ribosomal RNA (743 nucleotides) under uncultured Pseudomonadota bacterium. RNAcentral's name for it is "bacterial SSU rRNA". It matches the Rfam family "Bacterial small subunit ribosomal RNA", at positions 28 to 759 of the family's 1533-position model. The record is from RNAcentral. Lineage: Bacteria; Pseudomonadati; Pseudomonadota.